GGGGGUAUAGCUCAGUGGUAGAGCACAUGCUUACCAUGCACGAGGUCCUACGUUCAAUCCCCAGCACUGCCA
Molecule: transfer RNA, 72 nt
Filed under: Camelus bactrianus (Bactrian camel)
Lineage: Eukaryota; Metazoa; Chordata; Mammalia; Artiodactyla; Camelidae
Also listed under: 3 other names
Rfam family: tRNA
About the family: Transfer RNA (tRNA) molecules are approximately 80 nucleotides in length. Their secondary structure includes four short double-helical elements and three loops (D, anti-codon, and T loops).
Source: Rfam by way of RNAcentral